CCUACGGGGGGCAGCAGUGAGGAAUAUUGGUCAAUGGGAGAGAUCCUGAACCAGCCAAGCCGCGUGAGGGAAGACGGCCCUAUGGGUUGUAAACCUCUUUUGUCGGAGAACAAAACCCGGGACGUGUCCCGGACUGCGUGUAUCCGAAGAAAAAGCAUCGGCUAACUCCGUGCCAGCAGCCGCGGUAAUACGGAGGAUGCGAGCGUUAUCCGGAUUUAUUGGGUUUAAAGGGUGCGUAGGCGGGACCUUAAGUCAGCGGUAAAAUUGCGGUGCUCAACGCCGUAGAGCCGUUGAAACUGGGGUUCUUGAGUGAGCGAGAAGUAUGCGGAAUGCGUGGUGUAGCGGUGAAAUGCAUAGAUAUCACGCAGAACCCCGAUUGCGAAGGCAGCAUACCGGCGCUCAACUGACGCUGAGGCACGAAAGUGCGGGUAUCGAACAGGAUUAGAUACCCUUGUAGUC
This 459-nucleotide ribosomal RNA is filed under the name uncultured bacterium. Its description in RNAcentral is "partial 16S ribosomal RNA". It matches the Rfam family "Bacterial small subunit ribosomal RNA", at positions 338 to 795 of the family's 1533-position model. The record is from RNAcentral.